Molecule: non-coding RNA, 113 nt
Organism: Pseudonaja textilis
Lineage: Eukaryota; Metazoa; Chordata; Lepidosauria; Squamata; Elapidae
Source: RefSeq, a predicted model, not a curated record
UAAAAAUAUUAACAGACUCCAAGGUCCCUCUCACAGCUACUGUUUUUGAGUCAGGUUUUGUCUAAUCUGUACUUGUACCUUUGGUUUUUCCUGCCCAAAUAUAAAACUUUGCU